UCCUCAGUAGCUCAACGGUAGAGCCCUCGGCUGUUAACCGAGUAGUUGCUGGUUCGAAUCCAGCCUGGGGAGCCA
Molecule: transfer RNA, 75 nt
Filed under: Clostridiales bacterium
Lineage: Bacteria; Bacillati; Bacillota; Clostridia; Eubacteriales
Description: tRNA-Asn
Rfam family: tRNA
About the family: Transfer RNA (tRNA) molecules are approximately 80 nucleotides in length. Their secondary structure includes four short double-helical elements and three loops (D, anti-codon, and T loops).
Source: RNAcentral